AUGCACAACAGUAGUAGGGGCAUUAAGAUCGGAGCUUUUUGUAGUGCUAGCAGGAAUGCAAGUGAAUGAAUCCCAUCCCCUAGCGAGUGAAGUGCUUACGCCCCUUUAGAGAUAGGGGCGAGCAAAAGAGGUCGUUCUUCCAUUUUGAGAUCUUUAGAUUCAUAAGAUCAUAAUAGAGUCCCUUUACUUUCUAUUUUAUUAGUCAAGCACUAGCGCCCUACAACUAGUAUAUUAUAGCACAGUACCCAACUUCAAAGCUUACCUUCUUAAAAAAAGAAGUUGACCACACCCUUCAUGGCUGAGACCUUCAAAUAAACCCAAUCACCAACCUUAAAUUCAAGAUCUCUCCUUCUCAUAUCGAAAUAUGACUUUUGUCUACUUUGUGCUAUUCUCAAUCUCUCCCUUAUCAUCUUACCUUCUACAAGUCUUCCAUGACCAAAUCCAGACCUAGCAAAGCCAUCUCCCCUACUUUAAACCACCCAACUGGGAUCUACAUUGCCUAUCAUAAAGGGCUUCAAAGGGAGCCAUACCAAUGCUAGAGUGGUAGCUAUUGUUGUAAUGUUCAUCCCAACUAUCCUUAAACUCCAAACACAAGCCUCAAAACAUAUCCUCAAGAGUUUGGAUAGUCCUCUCGGCUUGGGCCAUCCAUUUGAGAGUGAAAGUCCGUGCUACCGUGCUAAGCUUAACCUUGGUACCAAGACCUCUUUGGAAGGACCUCAAAAAAUGUGAAGUGGAUUGAGCACCAUGAUCCGAAAUGAUAGACAAAGGCACCCCAUGCAAUCUAACUAACUCAUGAAUAUACUAUUUAACAUAAUCUUUGGCAUUAUAAGUGGUCUUAACUGGUAGAAAGUGCACCGACUUUGUCAUUCUAUCAACCACAACCCAAAUAGAAUCAAAGUGUUUCCUAGUCUUGGGCAAACCCAACGACAAAAUUCAUGUUAACCUCUUCUCACAUCCAAGCAGGAAUUUAUAUGUCUUGGGCUAGACCACCCGACCUUUGAUGUUCGACUUUCACUUGUUGGCAAUUGUGACAUCCAGAUAUGAACUUGGCAAUAUCUCUCUUCAAACCACCCCACCAAUACACUUCUCUUAAGUCCCUAUACAUCUUUGUGNCGGAGCUUUUUGUAGUGCUAGCAGGAAUGCAAGUGAAUGAAUCCCAUCCCCUAGCGAGUGAAGUGCUUACGCCCCUUUAGAGAUAGGGGCGAGCAAAAGAGGUCGUUCUUCCAUUUUGAGAUCUUUAGAUUCAUAAGAUCAUAAUAGAGUCCCUUUACUUUCUAUUUUAUUAGUCAAGCACUAGC
RNAcentral lists this long non-coding RNA (1298 nucleotides) under Solanum pimpinellifolium. Its description in RNAcentral is "long non-coding RNA (SPIM_LNC000048)". Lineage: Eukaryota; Viridiplantae; Streptophyta; Magnoliopsida; Solanales; Solanaceae. The record is from RNAcentral.